This 253-nucleotide ribosomal RNA is filed under the name uncultured bacterium. RNAcentral's name for it is "partial 16S ribosomal RNA". It matches the Rfam family "Bacterial small subunit ribosomal RNA", at positions 524 to 776 of the family's 1533-position model. The record is from RNAcentral.
UACGUAGGGUGCGAGCGUUAAUCGGAAUUACUGGGCGUAAAGCGUCUGUAGGUGGCUUUUCAAGUCCGCCGUCAAAUCCCAGGGCUCAACCCUGGACAGGCGGUGGAAACUGCCAAGCUGGAGUACGGUAGGGGCAGAGGGAAUUUCCGGUGGAGCGGUGAAAUGCGUAGAGAUCGGAAAGAACACCAACGGCGAAAGCACUCUGCUGGGCCGACACUGACACUGAGAGACGAAAGCUAGGGGAGCGAAUGGG